AAAACUUUCACUUUUGGCUUAAUCCCAUCCAAUACAAAAAUAAUUGAUGAGCAACAGGGAAGCUAUAAGAUUUUUAGUGUUUGAAUGAAGCUUUGACAUUAGUUGAAUCUGUAGAUUUUACACAUGAGAAGACAAAAGUUUAGAGAGGUUAAGUGCCUGGCAUAAAAUCACAUAGGUAGCCUGUGGAUUUUUAUGCUCAGCUAUUUUGAUUCAACAGUUAGUGUUAUUUCUGACCAAAACAAUGUUAUGUUUGUAUCUCUAUCAGGAUUAGAAGGAAAUAUUAGAGAUAGUCAGAAUUUAGAAAAUCAUAUUUUACAAACUUAAGAAAACAUAUAUAAAUAGAAAGAUUGCUUGUCUGCAAAUAAGAUAAAAGCAAGUAUGUUUUACCACCAGGUUGUCAUAGAAGGCUAAAAAUAUUUUAUAAAAUGGAGGAUGUGGUUGAGUGUUACCAGAUUGGAAAAAGAAGAAAAAUAACAUGUUUUGGAAAGUCAAUUGAAAACAAUUUUGAAGAUCUAUUACAUAAUUGAUUCCAUAAAACCUGGGUGCCAUCCUAUGUAGACAAGGUUUGACAUAAUUUUCCAGACUGGGAUUGUGUCUUUAAAGCACUUAAGCUGAACUAGACAAUUUCAUACACUUAUGUUGUUGAUAAAAUGAAAUUCCCAUUUGCUUCUCAUUACCUCUGACAUGAGCAUAUGCAGUUACAGGAUGUCUAUUGUAAUUAUGAUUAGAGCUUAAAAAACAAACAAGAAAAAUUACCAUACUAGCUAGAAAAUGCUGGGAAACCACAUGCCACAAACUUUGAGAUGUUUAUGAUUAAAAAAAAAAAUCACAUUGUAAGCUCCAUGCAAAAACCUGUGUUUGAAACAAAAGUCUAAAAUGUAAGAUCUAGACCCCUCUUGAGAAGUCCACUUAAGCAGGUCAUAAAGUGGUUUUAGAACAUACAUGUAUUUCAAUAUGAUAUUUAAGAAUCUCAUCAGAGCUCAAAGGCUACUCAAAAUGGUGAAGCCAGGAGAAAUUUGCCCCAAGCUUAGUGUUCACUUGAGUAGCUACACAAGAAUGAAUUGGAGCACAGCUGUAUGUCAUUUUGAAUUAGGACAACUGAGAAAGGCAAAUGACUAUCAUUGUUUCACUAUUAUAAUUGGUAGAUGCUAUUGACACAAUGAUAGAGGCAUGAGGCUGAGAAAUUCUAGGCAGAAAAGGGUAGAUCCCCAGCGAAACUCCACCCCCAAACCUAAAAGCCUGAAACCGUGGCCCAAAGUGAGAACUUCUAUUCCGGUUUUCCUGCUUGAAUGUUGCCUUUUUCUAAACACCUAUGCCCACUCCACCCCAUCCUGCGCCUAUAAAGACCCCAGACUCAGCCAUCAGAGAGAAGAAGCAGCUGGACAACAGGUCGACUACAGCUGGACGAUGGAGAGAAGCAGGUUGACUUCAGAGGGACAGUUUAACGGCAUAACUUCGGAGAAGAAUCCAGCCAGAAACAGCCGAACUUCAGGGAGAUCGGGAGCCAUGAGUGAGGAUACAAAGGGCUGUCACAUCUGGAUGCAGUGAUUCACACCUGUAAUC
This 1563-nucleotide long non-coding RNA is filed under the name Homo sapiens (human). RNAcentral describes it as "long non-coding RNA NONHSAT199100.1". The record is from RNAcentral. Lineage: Eukaryota; Metazoa; Chordata; Mammalia; Primates; Hominidae.